CCUACGGGGGGCAGCAGUAGGGAAUAUUGCUCAAUGGGGGAAACCCUGAAGCAGCAACGCCGCGUGGAGGAUGAAGGUUUUCGGAUUGUAAACUCCUUUUGGUAGAGAAGAGAAUGACGGUAUCUAACGAAUAAGCACCGGCUAACUCCGUGCCAGCAGCCGCGGUAAUACGGAGGGUGCAAGCGUUACUCGGAAUCACUGGGCGUAAAGAGCGCGUAGGCGGGAUAGCAAGUCAGAUGUGAAAUCCUAGGGCUUAACCAUAGAACUGCAUUUGAAACUGUUAUUCUAGAGUAUGGGAGAGGUAGGUGGACUUCUUGGUGUAGUGGUCAACUCCGUAGAGUUCAAGAGGACUACUCAUUGCGAAGGCGACCUGCUAGAACAUAACUGCCGCUGAUGCGC
This 399-nucleotide ribosomal RNA is filed under the name uncultured bacterium. RNAcentral describes it as "partial 16S ribosomal RNA". It matches the Rfam family "Bacterial small subunit ribosomal RNA", at positions 338 to 754 of the family's 1533-position model. The record is from RNAcentral.